CCCUUAGAUGUCCUGGGCCGCACGCGCGCUACACUGAUGCAUUCAACGAGUAUUUCCUUGGCCGAGAGGCCUGGGCAAUCUUUUAAACCUGCAUCGUGAUAGGGAUAGAUUAUUGCAAUUAUUAAUCUUGAACGAGGAAUUCCUAGUAAACGCAGAUCAUCAAUUUGCAUUGAUUACGUCCCUGCCCUUUGUACACACCGCCCGUCGCACCUACCGAUUGAAUGGUCCGGUGAAAUCUCGGGAUUGUGGCCAGUUCACUUUAUUGGGAGUUGGCUGCGAGAACUUGCUUAAACCUUAUCAUUUAGAGGAAGGUGAAGUCGUAACA
This 325-nucleotide ribosomal RNA is filed under the name uncultured eukaryote. RNAcentral describes it as "partial 18S ribosomal RNA". It matches the Rfam family "Eukaryotic small subunit ribosomal RNA", at positions 1470 to 1796 of the family's 1831-position model. The record is from RNAcentral.